This is a small nucleolar RNA of Cynocephalus volans (Philippine flying lemur), 133 nucleotides long. RefSeq annotates it as small nucleolar RNA SNORA17. The transcript has a single exon. NCBI's taxonomy places the organism in Eukaryota, Metazoa, Chordata, Mammalia, Dermoptera, Cynocephalidae. The record is from RefSeq and is a predicted model, not a curated record.
ACUGUCCUUACAGGAGCUGCAGGUAUAGUUGCUGUAUCACAUUUGUGUCAUUAGGUGGCAGAGAGAAGAGAGGCUAUGUCUACCCUCAGUGUUCUGACCUGUGAACGUUUGAAUGAUUAACAGUCUGAACCUU